GCCCUACGGGAGGCAUCAGUGAUUACUCUUGGUCACUGUCCUCCGGGCUGAACCAGCCAAGUCGCGUGAGGGAUGACGGUCCUAUGGAUUGUAAACCUCUUUUGUCAGGGAGCAAAGGGCGCCACGUGUGGCGCUUUGCGAGUACCUGAAGAAAAAGCAUCGGCUAACUCCGUGCCAGCAGCCGCGGUAAUACGGAGGAUGCGAGCGUUAUCCGGAUUUAUUGGGUUUAAAGGGUGCGCAGGCGGAAUGUCAAGUCAGCGGUAAAAUUUCGGGGCUCAACCCCGUCGUGCCGUUGAAACUGGCGU
RNAcentral lists this ribosomal RNA (305 nucleotides) under uncultured bacterium. Its description in RNAcentral is "bacterial SSU rRNA". It matches the Rfam family "Bacterial small subunit ribosomal RNA", at positions 335 to 639 of the family's 1533-position model. The record is from RNAcentral.